RNAcentral lists this ribosomal RNA (362 nucleotides) under Isoneuromyia pseudochracea. Its description in RNAcentral is "partial 12S ribosomal RNA". Lineage: Eukaryota; Metazoa; Arthropoda; Insecta; Diptera; Keroplatidae. The record is from RNAcentral.
UUAAAUUGUAAAAAAAAAAUAAGAGUAGUAAUAGAUAUGUUCUUAAAACUUAAAAAAUUUGGCGGUAUUUUAUUCUAUUUAGAGGAACUUGUUUUAUAAUUGAUAAUCCUCAAUUUAUCUUACUUAAAAUUUUAUAGUUUGUAUAUCGUUGUCAUAAGAAUAUCUUAAAAAAGAAAUAAUUUUCUAAAUUAAUAAAAUUUAUAAUUAUUAAUUAUGUCAGAUCAAGAUGCAGUUUAUAUUUAAGAAAAAAUGAGUUACAAUUAAUAUAUUAAAAUGAAUUAAAGAUUGAAAUAUUUUUAUGAAGGUGGAUUUAAUAGUAAGUUAUUUAAUUGAGAAUAGUUGAUAGUAGUUCUAAAAUAUGC